Molecule: non-coding RNA, 63 nt
Organism: Stegodyphus mimosarum
Lineage: Eukaryota; Metazoa; Arthropoda; Arachnida; Araneae; Eresidae
Source: Rfam
AUUUAAUUAUGAUAAUUUAUUCCUAAACCUUCAAAAGGCGGAAUAAUUUGGAUGUUUGUUAAU